UACGUAGGGUGCGAGCGUUAAUCGGAAUUACUGGGCGUAAAGCGUGCGCAGGCGGUUUUGUAAGCCAGAUGUGAAAGCCCCGGGCUCAACCUGGGAAUGGCAUUUGGGACUGCAAGGCUUGAGUGCGGCAGAGGAGACGUGGAAUUCCUGGUGUAGCAGUGAAAUGCGUAGAUAUCGAGGAGGAAUACCGAUGGCGAAGGCAGGUCUCUGGGCUGACACGUGACGCUCAU
RNAcentral lists this ribosomal RNA (230 nucleotides) under uncultured bacterium. RNAcentral describes it as "partial 16S ribosomal RNA". It matches the Rfam family "Bacterial small subunit ribosomal RNA", at positions 524 to 750 of the family's 1533-position model. The record is from RNAcentral.